AGGCAAUGCCUCAGUAAGAUGACACAUUCAAAAUAGGAGAAUUUGAGAAAGGUUUACUUAGGAAGUUGUGGGUGGGGAGUAAAGAACUACAAGGCAUCGUGUUAUACUGGGAGAAUACCAGCAGAGCUCAUGCCACUCCCAGGCCCAAAAGGGUGAAGGGAGGACAGGGUUAGCAGAACCCAAAAAGAAAGAAUCAUGUAGAGAAUGACACCCAGAGAGGAGCAGUGACUCUCACUUGAAGGUCACUGUGGUGAUAUCAUAGGAAGAAUUAACUACAGUCUCCUCCUUCCCUUGCUUUAGCCAGAGAGCAAGAGGAGAAGUUGGUGUGGUCCAUACAGGUCAGCCUCUUUGCAGGGGCUGGAAGAAUGAAUGGAGGAUGCAGAGAAGCCAGCAAACAAGGUACCUGCCACACGUACUGUUUACAACAGCUGCGCCUAAUUUAAAGCAACAAAACUUCAAAGAAAGGAAAGAACAUCUUCUGGAAACAUCAGGAUGAUCUGACUCCAGGCACUGACACCAUCAUCCAUCAGAAGUCAUGACCUGUGAUUUGAGGGUAUGAAUUAGAUCGUAGAUUCUCAAGAGAAUUGAUGCCCUUUGGCAACUGUAAAAUGAAGAACUCUGUAUCAUUUUGUUGAGGAUGAGUGAUGUAGUUUUUUGUUUUUGUUUUUUAAUACGAUGGCUUUAAGUGAAGACAGGGCCACACAAAUUGCAUGACUAACUCCUCUCAAAAGUUAGAUAUCUUUUGCAGCCUACUCACUGAAGUCAUUUACAGUUCUUAAUACCAGCAAAGUGGAUAUAAUUGCACAGUGGGAUUUAUUCUAGAUGAAUCAGGAUAUGGGGGAGAAAAAUGGACACAUUAAGAAGAAAAAUUAAAUUGAGCACUUAAAAUAAUUGACCAAAGAAAAUGGUCAAUGUAUGUUUUAUCUUUUCUUCCUUUAAAAAUACAUGUUGUAUGGAAAUUGUGAUGAGGGGAAAAAAAGAAAAAAAAAAGAAAAAACCCACACACAAUUAAAAGGGACAGGUACCUGACUGGGUUUUCCCAUCUCUUCCCCCAAAUGUCCAGCUCACAGGAACUCCUAUGGUCCACCUCUGUGCAGAGAUGAAAAUCUUUCCUUUCCAGAGUCAAAGUCAGCUCUCUGAAUGUUUAUAGCCUAAAAUUAGUGUCUGUGAAGCUGGUAAGACUGUUGCUUUGAACAUUGGUGUUUUAGGCAGUUUCCAGGUAACACUGAAAUGACCGUUUCUUAGCACUUGCCAGACCUAUGAACAAUUGUUAAAAUCUAAAUUAAACCCAUAUUAAACUGACUUUUUUUUUUGACAUCAAAGUGAUGCCAAGAUACCUGAUAUGAUACCCAGAGUGAGUAUGGAAAAGAGGGACUCUCACUAUGCUUUUGGGAAAAGUGUAAAUUGACACAACUUUUUCAAACAAACUUGAUAAAAUGUACUUCCAAGUCUUAAAGCAGUCAUUUAUUUAAUCAAGAGUAUUUAUUGAGUGUCUUCUAUAUCAUGGGCUGGCAAUUAUAUUCUAUCAGUGAGUGAAUAGACAUUACACAGAUAAUUACAAGUGCAAUGACCCCCAUGAAAGGAAAGUCAAAAGGACCUGAGAGAGAGGCAUCAGUCCUGCGAAAGUAAUUAGUCUACAGUAAGGUAUAAACAGUGAGAACUACCUAAAUGUCCCCAGGCACUGGAUUAAAUAAAUGGUGGUAUAUCCAUGCAGUGGAAUAACAUGAUGGUGUUAAGAAUAAAGUUAUAGGGAGGUCCCGUCGUGGCGCAGUGGUUAACGAAUCCGACUAGGAACCAUGAGGUUGCGGGUUCGGUCCCUUCCCUUGCUCAGUGGGUUAAUGAUCCGGCGUUGCCGUGAGCUGUGGUGUAGGUUGCAUACGAGGCUCGUAUCCCGCGUGGCUGUGGCUCUGGCAUAGGCUGGUGGCUACAGCUCCGAUUCAACCCCUAGCCUGGGAACCUCCAUAUGCCGUGGGAGCGGCCCAAGAAAUAGCAACAACAACAACAACAACAACAACAAAAAGACAAAAAAGUCAAAAAUAAAAUAAAGUUAUAGAAAAAUACUUAACAGCAUGAAGAAAUGUUCACAAUGUACUGGGUAGUGGAAAAUAACUGGGUAGUGGUAGUUAUAAAAGUGUGUCCAGUUUGACCCCAUUUGGUAAAAAUUAAACAAAACAAAAACUAUUUAUUUAUAAAUCUCUAUCUGUAUCCAUCAUCUAUGAAGGAUAUACCAGAAAAUGCCUCCAGUGAUAAUUGCUGGUUGGGGAUAUUACAAGCAAUACCUUCUUCUUUGUGCAUAUCUUCAUGAACAUUCUUGUAGUUGUAAGAAAUAAUAAUAAUAAUUAAGGGAGUGGUUUCCUCAGGGUUCCCUGAGAUGCUGCCUCCAAAGCUUAAGUCCUCAUUUUGCCCCAAAUAAAACUUAACUCUCAAAAAUAAAUAAAUAAAUAAAUAAAUAAAAAGCAUAUAACUAGGCAUAGAAUAACUGACUUUUGAGAGAGAAGACCUAAAGAGUAUAUUAAUCAACCACUUCUAAUUUAUUUAAAAUCUGUUCUUGUCUUAAAUUAGAUCAACAGAAUACAAUGUUCCUGAAAAAUAUUUUUAAAAUCCCCCGCAGAAGUGCUUUCACAAAGUUAUAACUGAAC
This 2639-nucleotide long non-coding RNA is filed under the name Sus scrofa (pig). RNAcentral describes it as "lncRNA (ENSSSCG00025036742.1)". Lineage: Eukaryota; Metazoa; Chordata; Mammalia; Artiodactyla; Suidae. The record is from RNAcentral.